AGCAGUCGCCGCGGGAAUACGUAGGUGGCAAGCGUUGUCCGGAAUUAUUGGGCGUAAAGGGCUCGCAGGCGGUUUCUUAAGUCUGAUGUGAAAGCCCCCGGCUCAACCGGGGAGGGUCAUUGGAAACUGGGAAACUUGAGUGCAGAAGAGGGGAGUGAAUUCCACGUGUAGCGGUGAAAUGCGUAGAGAUGUGGAGGAACACCAGUGGCGAAGGCGACUCUCUGGUCUGUAACUGACGCUGAGGAGCGAAAGCGUGGGGAGCGAACAGGAUUAGAUACCCCCGUAGUCCCUGUCUCUUAUACC
RNAcentral lists this ribosomal RNA (303 nucleotides) under uncultured bacterium. Its description in RNAcentral is "partial 16S ribosomal RNA". It matches the Rfam family "Bacterial small subunit ribosomal RNA", at positions 507 to 808 of the family's 1533-position model. The record is from RNAcentral.